Molecule: ribosomal RNA, 368 nt
Filed under: uncultured bacterium
Lineage: Bacteria
Description: partial 16S ribosomal RNA
Rfam family: Bacterial small subunit ribosomal RNA
Source: RNAcentral
CCUACGGGCGGCAGCAGUGGGGAAUAUUGCACAAUGGGGGAAACCCUGAUGCAGCAACGCCGCGUGAGUGAUGACGGCCUUCGGGUUGUAAAGCUCUGUCUUCAGGGACGAAAAUGACGGUACGUGUGGAGGUAGCCACGGCUAACUACGUGCCAGCAGCCCCGGGAAUACGUAGGUGGCGAGCGUUUUCCGGAUUUACUGGGCGUAAAGGGAGCGUAGGCGGGUUUUUAAGUUAGAUGUGAAAUACUCGGGCUCAACCUGAGUGUUGCAUUUGAAACUGGAAGUCUUGAGUGCAGGAGAGGAGAAUGGAAUUCCUAGUGUAGCGGUGAAAUGCGUAGAGAUUAGGAAGAACACCAGUGGCGAAGGCG